Molecule: long non-coding RNA, 524 nt
Filed under: Vitis vinifera (wine grape)
Lineage: Eukaryota; Viridiplantae; Streptophyta; Magnoliopsida; Vitales; Vitaceae
Description: long non-coding RNA (VVIN_LNC006203)
Source: RNAcentral
CUCUCUCAUUCGCUUCCCCAACACUCUACCUACUCCCUCAUUCUCUCUCCUCUUAUACCCCAUUCCUACGACAAUACCCUUAUCUCCUAUUUCUAUUUUAUAAUUAUUUUUACAUUUUUUUUCUUUAUUUUUCUUCUUCUUUCUUCUCCCUACAGCCCUUCCCACUCAUAAUACACCAAAGAUAAAAAUAUCGGUAAUCACUCAAAUAUCGGUACUUGAAUUUUACGGAUAUAUCGAAUAUAUCGACGGAUAUUGUAACACAAAAUAUCGAUAGACCAAAAAUUCAUCAAAACUUAUGAAAAUAUAAGAAAAAAUUCUUAAAAAUGAAAUUAGAAGUAUAAUAGACAUUUUAAAGUUAUUUUGUUGAAGAAAUUAAUAUAUGUAUGAUAUGAUUUGCGAUGUUAAAUUUAAUUAUAUAGUGUCGGCUAAUAAGAAAUGUGAAUUUUGUAAGUGUUGACUCAUUAUGAAGUUAACUUAUUACAAAUAUACUAAUUAUGUAAUUUAAAUAUAUUAUUAUGUUAAAU